UACGAAGGGGGCUAGCGUUGCUCGGAAUGACUGGGCGUAAAGGGCGCGUAGGCGGAGUGCUUUGUCAGACGUGAAAUUCCAGGGCUUAACCUUGGGGCUGCGUUUGAGACGGGCAUUCUAGAGUAGGGAAGAGGGUCGUGGAAUUCCCAGUGUAGAGGUGAAAUUCGUAGAUAUUGGGAAGAACACCGGUGGCGAAGGCGGCGACCUGGACCGGCAUUGACGCUGAUGAGCGAAAGCUAGGGGAGCAAACGGG
RNAcentral lists this ribosomal RNA (253 nucleotides) under uncultured bacterium. RNAcentral's name for it is "partial 16S ribosomal RNA". It matches the Rfam family "Bacterial small subunit ribosomal RNA", at positions 524 to 776 of the family's 1533-position model. The record is from RNAcentral.